This 348-nucleotide ribosomal RNA is filed under the name Scheffersomyces shehatae. Its description in RNAcentral is "eukaryotic LSU rRNA". It matches the Rfam family "Eukaryotic large subunit ribosomal RNA", at positions 179 to 535 of the family's 3401-position model. The record is from RNAcentral. Lineage: Eukaryota; Fungi; Ascomycota; Pichiomycetes; Serinales; Debaryomycetaceae.
GUCUAUGUUCCUUGGAACAGGACGUCACAGAGGGUGAGAAUCCCGUGCGAUGAGAUGUCCAACUCUAUGUAAAGUGCUUUCGAAGAGUCGAGUUGUUUGGGAAUGCAGCUCUAAGUGGGUGGUAAAUUCCAUCUAAAGCUAAAUAUUGGCGAGAGACCGAUAGCGAACAAGUACAGUGAUGGAAAGAUGAAAAGAACUUUGAAAAGAGAGUGAAAAAGUACGUGAAAUUGUUGAAAGGGAAGGGUUUGAGAUCAGACUUGGUAUUUUGUAUGUCUUGCUUUCGGGUGGGGCCUCUGCAGUUUACUGGGCCAGCAUCGGUUUGGACGGUAGGAUAAUGACAUUGGAAUG